This 514-nucleotide ribosomal RNA is filed under the name uncultured microorganism. Its description in RNAcentral is "bacterial SSU rRNA". It matches the Rfam family "Bacterial small subunit ribosomal RNA", at positions 9 to 511 of the family's 1533-position model. The record is from RNAcentral.
GAGUUUGAUCUUGGCUCAGGAUGAACGCUGGCGGCGUGCUUAACACAUGCAAGUCGAACGGAGAUAUCAUUUUCGAAGCGAUUAGUUUACUAAGAGUGGAGAUGUUGGUAUCUUAGUGGCGGACGGUGAGUAACGCGUGGGUAACCUGCCUUACACUGGGGGAUAACACUUAGAAAUAGGUGCUAAUACCGCAUAACAGGGAAAGAUGCAUGUCUUUUCCUUAAAAACUCCGGUGGUGUAAGAUGGACCCGCGUCUGAUUAGCUUGUUGGCGGGGUAACGGCCCACCAAGGCGACGAUCAGUAGCCGGCCUGAGAGGGUGAACGGCCACAUUGGGACUGAGACACGGCCCAAACUCCUACGGGAGGCAGCAGUGGGGAAUAUUGGACAAUGGGGGGAACCCUGAUCCAGCGACGCCGCGUGAGUGAAGAAGUAUUUCGGUAUGUAAAGCUCUAUCAGCAGGGAAGAAAGAAAUGACGGUACCUGACCAAGAAGCCCCGGCUAACUACGUGCCAG